CAGAUGGCAACAAUGACUUCGAGCUGUAAGGUUUGUUCCAUAACCCAUUGACCAUACAUCUGGCCAUCCUGCUGGCAUACAUGGGUGCCCUACUUAUGAAUAAUCCCAGGACAUGGAGGCUGUGAGGCUGGUACCACAGCCCAGCGAAGGUACAGUGAAAGCCUCAUUACAUGUGUCUUCUGGAGUCAUACCAAGUAGAAGAAGAUGUCUUUGAAGUUAAUGCCCUAAAAUGCCGUUCCUGUCAAUAAGGAUUAAACAUUUCAGAGUACUCACUGCAAUAAUAACAAUUAAAAAAAACACAUAAUUGCAGUCAUCUUUACAACCAGCACCCCUGCUGCAGAUAGGAUGGUAAUUGCUUGGAAGUGUCUGUUUGCCUAAGGGGCUGCUUAGUGAGUUUAUGGCUGAGGGAGGAUUUAAACAGAAGGCUUCCAUCUCACACUCUGAAAGUGCACUUUUUAGCAAGCUUACUGGGG
This 473-nucleotide long non-coding RNA is filed under the name Salvator merianae (Argentine black and white tegu). RNAcentral describes it as "lncRNA (ENSSMRG00000023625.1)". Lineage: Eukaryota; Metazoa; Chordata; Lepidosauria; Squamata; Teiidae. The record is from RNAcentral.